Molecule: ribosomal RNA, 458 nt
Filed under: uncultured bacterium
Lineage: Bacteria
Description: partial 16S ribosomal RNA
Rfam family: Bacterial small subunit ribosomal RNA
Source: RNAcentral
CCUACGGGUGGCAGCAGUGAGGAAUAUUGGUCAAUGGGCGAGAGCCUGAACCAGCCAAGUCGCGUGAGGGAGUACUGCCCUAUGGGUUGUAAACCUCUUUUGUCGGGGCGCAAAAGCCGGACGUGUCCGGCUGUGAGAGUACCCGAAGAAAAAGCAUCGGCUAACUCCGUGCCAGCAGCCGCGGUAAUACGGAGGAUGCGAGCGUUAUCCGGAUUUAUUGGGUUUAAAGGGUGCGCAGGCGGAUUUUUAAGUCAGCGGUAAAAUCGUGGGGCUCAACCCCAUCCAGCCGUUGAAACUGGGGAUCUAGAGUGUGCGAGAGGUAUGCGGAAUGCGUGGUGUAGCGGUGAAAUGCAUAGAUAUCACGCAGAACCCCGAUUGCGAAGGCAGCAUACCGGUGCACAACUGACGCUCAGGCACGAAAGCGUGGGUAUCGAACAGGAUUAGAUACCCCAGUAGUC